AUUGAACGCUGGCGGCAUGCCUUACACAUGCAAGUCGAACGGUAACGGGCCUUCGGGUGCCGACGAGUGGCGAACGGGUGAGUAAUACAUCGGAACGUGCCCGAUCGUGGGGGAUAACGAGGCGAAAGCUUUGCUAAUACCGCAUACGAUCUACGGAUGAAAGCAGGGGACCGCAAGGCCUUGCGCGGACGGAGCGGCCGAUGGCAGAUUAGGUAGUUGGUGGGAUAAAAGCUUACCAAGCCGACGAUCUGUAGCUGGUCUGAGAGGAUGAUCAGCCACACGGGGGGUGAGACGCGCCACAGACUCCUAGGGGAGGCGGAGGUGGGGAAUUUUGGAAAAGGGGGGCAAGCCUGAUCAGGCCAUCCGGCGUGCAGAAGGAGGGCCUGGGGGUUGAAAACUGUUUUUGAACGAAAGAAAACCCUUUUUUUAAAUACGGGGGGGUCAGGAGGGAACCGAAAGAAUGGGCCCGGCCAAACAAGGUG
This 482-nucleotide ribosomal RNA is filed under the name uncultured bacterium. RNAcentral's name for it is "partial 16S ribosomal RNA". It matches the Rfam family "Bacterial small subunit ribosomal RNA", at positions 29 to 507 of the family's 1533-position model. The record is from RNAcentral.